CUCACCUCAUUUGCUCACUUUGUAUAUAGACUUAUUUUCCUACUAUAUUAUUGACUGUAUGUUUGUUUUACUCCAUGUGUAACUCUGUGUUGUUGUAUGUGUCAAAAGGCUUGCUUUAUCUUGGCCAGGUCGCAAUUGUAAAUGAGAACUUGUUCUCAACUUGCCUAGCUGGUUAAAUAAUAUAGCUGGUUAAAUAUAUAUAUAUGCAUAUUUACAAUACAAAUACAUAAAUACUUCAAGAGUUGAGCAGUUUGAUAGACGUUGGCACCAAACUAGAAGCUGCUUAGGUUUAUAUGGGAGAGCUGUAUAGCUGGCCCUGGUGGCUCACCUUGCCUUGCACCUACUACUAUUGUCUCUGCAAGGAUGUAGGAUCAGGCCCUUUGGCUGAGUAGAGGUCAGAGGACACAAUCCUAUGUGCACACAAGUGGGUUUAAAGUGCCCCCUCCUUUCACAGAGGAAGAAAAGAGACCCUCCCCUCAGCAUAUAGCAUCAAUUCCAGCAGCUUCCCAAGGGACCAAGUUCUUUCUCUUGCAUCCGGGUGCUGUUCCUCUCGCUCUCUUGCUCUCUCUCACUUUCUCACAGACAAACACACACAGCCUAAUGUAACCAAUCACAACAGAGCUUGAUGAGUAACCCCAGCCUUUCGUAAGCCCUCCUGGCAGUGACUGAGACCUGUGACUUCCCCAGUACACGUGAACCCAUUGGGAGAGAAUAGGCUUUGCACAUGUAAUCCUUGUCUCUAUGUUUAUUUUUGGUGCCUAGACUCUUUCCUUCAGUGGGGAGAAUGUGUGCACGCAAAAGGCCUGAUGAAUCUGCACUGUGUGUGGGAGUGUGUGUGUGUGUGUGUGUGUGUGUGUGUGUGUGUGUGUGUGUGUGUGUGUGUGUGUGUGUGUGUGUGUGUGUGUGUGUGAUUUAUACCAUUUAUAUGUACUGUAAUGACAAUCUAACUAUUGUGGGAAGGGAUUCAAAUGAAAUAUCUCAGUAUUCAUGUAGUAUUGAAAAGCACAUUUCAAGUACUCCUGAUAAUCUGGUAAUACAAAUAUAGAUCAUUUUAACAAAAUGAAAGGGUGCAGGAACAAUAGUUAUAUUUUUUCCCAUAGUGCACGUUUCUCACAAUAUGCAACGUGGUCAUGAUUGAAUCUUGCCCAACAAGUAUUAUUAUGUUACUGUAUAUUUUUUAUUACACAGAUUACACUCUGAAUAUUUUCCCACAUCAUCACCUUAGUUUUCAACACAAACAAUUAAAAUCAGACUAGUGUCAGUGGUAUUUCUCUGAAAUUCUAUCCUCCAUUAUGAGUGUUUUGUCAAAGUAACGCCCACAAACCAUAUAGAACCAGUUGAUGGCUUGACAAUGCCUCUUUUGUCAUUGGAUAAUUUGAUCAAUAAUCAUAGUAUGCACCUUCUUUUUUUUCUCUCGAAGAGCUACUGUUUUCAGAAAUAUAUACAUUUCUGAAGAUUCCUAUUGUGGAUCUGAAAAUCUAUGUGUUAUGCACUUAUUAUCAUAGUAAUUGAAAUAUACUUUAUGCACUUUGUCUAUUUAUGAUUUAUCAGUGGGUUUCACAGUAACAGUAUUUUGAAUUGUUUUAUUUCUAAAUUAAAUGUAAUUCUUUUCUUUAAGGCCCAGUGAAGUCACCAUGCGGUAAAUUGGUUAAUAGACCAAUAACAAAGAGAGCUCCAAACCUCUGCCAAUAACAGCUAGUUUUCUGUGUUACCCUCCCCACUCAGACCACUCCCAGACAGUCCUAGCAAAAUUCUUGCUUGAGAAAUUGUUUUUUUUGCUAAAAAGCUGUUUUGGUCCAUUUGAAUGGAAAUCUAUUACAAUAAGG
This 1826-nucleotide long non-coding RNA is filed under the name Salmo salar (Atlantic salmon). Its description in RNAcentral is "lncRNA (ENSSSAG00000086801.1)". The record is from RNAcentral. Lineage: Eukaryota; Metazoa; Chordata; Actinopteri; Salmoniformes; Salmonidae.